This 85-nucleotide transfer RNA is filed under the name Felis catus (domestic cat). It matches the Rfam family "tRNA". Rfam says of the family: Transfer RNA (tRNA) molecules are approximately 80 nucleotides in length. Their secondary structure includes four short double-helical elements and three loops (D, anti-codon, and T loops). The record is from Rfam by way of RNAcentral. Lineage: Eukaryota; Metazoa; Chordata; Mammalia; Carnivora; Felidae.
ACCUGAGUGGCUCAGUCGGUUGAGCGUCCGACUUCAGCUCAGGUUGUAAUCUCACAGUUCGUGGGUUUGAGCCCCACAUCGGGCU